Molecule: non-coding RNA, 112 nt
Filed under: unclassified sequences
Description: DUF3800-I RNA
Rfam family: DUF3800-I RNA
About the family: Actinobacteria, Firmicutes, Fusobacteria, Proteobacteria (1 example), Tenericutes (2 examples).
Source: Rfam by way of RNAcentral
UUAAAAUACAAAUAGGGUCACCUAUAUUGUAUACCUACAUACCCGAACAAAGAGUUUAAGCGUACUGUAAGUACGUCGGACGUAGGGCCACCAGUAGGUGGCUUUUUUAUUU